UGAUCCGCCCUCAAUCCCCUUCGGGGUGAGAAGGGCGGAAUAUACGGACAAAGCAUGAGGAAGAACGUAUCUGAUUUUAUGUUUGAAAUUUAUAUUUUGUAAUUUAUAAUGUAUUUUAAUAGUUUUAACUGUUUUAUGCACUGUUUUAUAUUGAUUUGUAUGGGCAUCGAAUUGUUGCCAUUAUUGUAAGCUGCCCUGAGUCCCUUCGGGUGAGAAGGGCGGGAUAUAAAUGUGAGAAAUAAAUAAAUAAAAUAAUAAAUAAAUACUGUAAAUAAAUAAAUAAACUUUCACACUUGCCUCAGGCAGACAAGAAUUCUUUCUCCCACUCUGGACAUUCCACAAAUAUAUAAAACCCAAUUACCUGGUUUCCAACACGCCUCACAACCUCUGAGGAUGCCUGCCAUAGAUGUGGGCGAAACGUCAGGAGAGAAUGCUUCUGGAACAUGGCCAUACAGCCCGGAAAACUCACAGCAACCCAGUCAUUCUGGCCAUGAAAGCCUUUGAUGUUUUCACAUGUGGUUCUGAUUUCUUUUUUCCUUGCAGGCUUCCUCACCAACGCUUCCGACCCACCAUGGCGAAGGACGAUGGGUGCUGCAACCUGUGUGCCACCUGCUUGCUGUGUUUCUACAGCUGUCGCUGGAGGCGCAGCGGGAAGGGCCUGGCCACCAGCAAAGGCUCUUCUCUCAGGGACGCUCACAUCAUGGGCUUGGCUGUCUUUGCGAUCCACUUGAACGAAGCCAAAGCGUCCAUCCCAGCCAUCGACCUCUGCUCUUCGCUGGACCCUUCCUGUGCUUCCACGAGAGGCCUUUCUGUAUCCGAACUCUGGGAUUACUUUUUGGAUUGCCAGGCAGGACAGUCUGCCACCUUCUGCAUGAAGUUUUGUGUUGUGGCACUUUCUUACUUUCUCUGCAAGUUUGGCUCCCUUCCCCAUGACUCCUUAUGCUCCGUGCUUCAUCCUGGUUUUGUGAAAAAGCUUCAGUACGUCGUGCCCCUUCUUUGCUCGGAAGCCCGAAAUACAAGCUGGGAAGGCAGCAUGGAUGAUGACCUUCCAUGGAAAACAUUAUCCCGCCCCAGCUUCUGCUACUCAAAAGCUGCCUUGUGCUUAUGGAAGCAUCCCCUUUUCAAAGAACUAUUGUGGGAAAAAGCCUUCCAGCUGACUCUCCAAGAAUGGCUUCUGAUGGAACUGGCAGUCUGUCCCGACGAAGACGUUCUUUCUGCCGUUGAGAGGCAGGACUUCCAUUACUGGGCUCUGUACCAGCACUUUCUUCCUCUGUCUGUCGCUGCUGGCGGCUGCGAGGGAGACCUAAGAGAGGCCUGCGCCGUUCUCCUUGACGCCGUCUUGGAUUUCGGACAGAGGGGCUCAGUGAUACACACAUCAAGGUCUGAGUUGGGAAAGUGUAACCAUCCAAAUAAUCCCAAACGUUCCACAUUCCAGAGGAGAGGGAACCCCGAUAUCUACGCCAGAUUGCAGGAGAUGCUGCUGGAGCUGGAGCUGGAGCGCAGGAGAGCCUGGCCUGUGUCCGGUGGCGGCAAAGAGGAGCUCCUCUUGUUCCGGGUUUUCCAGAAGAGGCUCAAAGGGUUGAAGAGCGGGGAAGAAAUGCACCGGCAGCAAGAACUGUUCCUUCAAACCAGGCAGGACACAGCAUUGUCAAAUCUAUAUAUAUAAAAGAGUGAUGGCAUCACGGCGAUGGACAAAACAACAAAUCUACAGCCCCCCCAAACUCGAAAAUUGGCAACGCAAUCCAUCAUCCCCGCCUCCAGUAAGAUAUAACAAAAUUUCACUACAAGCACAAUCACAGGGCCAACAAAAGCCCAAAAACCGCAACAGCCAAUCAGGGCCUGCGAACUCCCCCCCCCCCCCCCCGCGCCCGCGCGCCCGCGCGCCCGCACACACACACACAGAACACUCACCCUCUCUCCCCGCCUCCAUCGCCCCAUGGCGAGAAAGAAGCCGGAGCUUCACCGAACUCAAACCAACCCAUAAUAAGUUGCAAAAUACGGCAAAGAAGCGGGAGAGAGGAGGGCGGCAUGGAGCCCCGGAGUCUUUCUCCUCUCGCCUCACUUCCAACAGACCCCUGAGAAUGCUUGCCACGAGAGAAUACUACUUGGAGUCCUAACCCAUACGGCCGAAAAACUCACACAAUGCUGCUGCUACUUCUUAAAGGGACAGGCGUCCUAUUUCUUCCCAUGAGGCUGUGGAGUGUAGAGUCCCCUCUGGGGGGCAGGGCGCGGGCCCAGAUGGACAGGACCUUGUGGCUGUAACGGCUCAGCCAGCCGAGUUCGGCCCGGCACUCCACCUCAAAGGCCAGGAAGGUGGCCUCGUCCGACAGUGACACUGCCUCCAUUGAGAAGCCAGAUGCAGAAGGAGGAGAAGGAGAAGCAACUGCCAUGCCUCCCCCCCAGGCCCCGUCAAAGGCAGGCUUGUGAUGAAAGAAGAACCGAAGAGGAGGACGAAGAAAAGGAGGGCACCAUGUCAUGGAACCCAGUUACAGGGCUUUGGUAAUUCAGCCCUGCAACUGGGAGUCAUAACAUAAACAAUCCCAGGAGCACCUGGCAGAAGAAGAUAGAAUAUGCCUGGGAACUUGGGGCCGAAAGUAUAAACAAUUAUAAUUGGUCUAGUGUGUGAAAAUAGUAAAGUAGUAAUGUGAUAUUGUGGGGUGGGACUUGAUGAUGAUAUUUACGUGUGGUGUUACGUAGCAUCAAAAGUUAUAAAAAUAGUUGUAUGUAAACAUUGGGUCAUUCCUGACUUUUCCAAAGUCAUGUGUUCUUCAAUAAAGAUUGGAUUUGAGAGCAGCCAUCUCUGAUCUGCGUUCAGACUGAUCCUUUGAAGUGAGCAGGACAUAUAUAUAUAUAUAUAUGGAUGUGCAUGUGGGUCUGGGUGUGUGUAUGUGUGUGGCUGGAAUUCUACAUUCAAAAUAUCCCUUUUCCAACUUCCAAAUUAUUUUUGUCUAAAUUAACAAUCACAGCCAGCUAACAACUCCAAACAAAGGAUUCCCCCCAGGCAGGAAGCAGCCAGGCAGGUUAUUAUAUAUGUAUAUAUAUAUAUAUAUAUAUGGAUGUGCAUGUGGGUCUGGGUGUGUGUAUGUGUGUGGCUGGAAUUCUACAUUCAAAAUAUCCCUUUUCCAACUUCCAAAUUAUUUUUGUCUAAAUUAACAAUCACAGCCAGCUAACAACUCCAAACAAAGGAUUCCCCCCAGGCAGGAAGCAGCCAGGCAGGUUAUAUAUGCGUGUGGGUCUGUGUAUGUGUAUGUAUGUGGCUGGAAUUCCACAUUCAAAAUAUCCCUUUUCCAAUUUCAAUAUUAUAUUUAUCUAAAUUAACAUUCACAGCCAGCUAACAACUCCAAAGAAAGGAUUCCCCCCAGGCAGGAAGCAGCCAGGCAGGUUAUUAUAUAUGUAUAUAUAUAUAUGGAUGUGCAUGUGGGUCUGGGUGUGUGUAUGUGUGUGGCUGGAAUUCUACAUUCAAAAUGUCCCUUUUCCAACUUCCAAAUUAUUUUUGUCUACAUUACCAAUCACAGCCACCUAACAACUCCAAACAAAGGAUUCCCCCCCAGGCAGGAAGCAGCCAGGCAGGUUAUUAUAUAUACAGUAGAGUCUCACUAAUCCAAGCCUCACUUAUCCAAGCCUGUGGAUAAUCCAAGCCAUUUUUGAAGUCAAUGUUUUCAAUAUAUCAAGAUAUUUUGGUGCUAAAUUCAUAAAUACAGUGAUUACAACGUAACAUUACUGCGUAUUGAACUACUUUUUCUGUCAAAUUUGUUGUAUAACAUGAUGUUUUGGUGCUUAAUUUGUAAAAUUAUAACCUAAUUUGAUGUUUAAUAGGCUUUUUCUUAAUCCCUCCUUAUUAUCCAAGAUAUUCGCUUAUCCAAGCUUCUGCCGGCCCGUUUAGCUUGGAUAAGUGAGACUCUACUGUAUAUAUAUAUAUAUAUAUAUAUAUAUAUAUAUAUAUAUAUAUGGAUGUGCGUCUGGGUCUGGGUAUGUGUAUGUAUGUAGCUGGAAUUCCACAUUCAAAAUAUCUUCUCCAACUUCCAAAUUAUAUUUCUCUACAUCUGGACUUAAUGUCUGGGGAAAACCUUUACCCUUGACCUUAACUACCACCAAUUCCUCAAUACUUUAGUUCCCAGACCACCAGACUUCGCCACAGCAACGCGUGGCCGGGCACAGCUAGUAUAAAAUAAACUGAUUGAAUCUGCAAAGAGGACUAAAGCAUUCGAGCAUUUGCAAAGCCAAGAAAACAUAAACUGCUUUUUAAAAAGCCAAUACUUUUACUUUGGCCCGAUUGCCAUGAGGAAGGCAUUGUGGGAGGUAGCUUCUUUUUUGGAAGGGGGUGGAUAAUUGACUGAUUUACUCUAAGCAAAUCUCUGUGCUGUGCUGUCAAAAAGUAAUGACCUUUAUGGAUGUGUCUUGAGUGUCAUCUCCAACUCAAUAGGGGAAGCAAUGGAUGUCACGAGAGUUUGGAUGGUGGCUUUCUGCCUGGAAGAAGGGGGUCAGUCUAGAAGUCCCUUGAUGGUGCCUGUAAUAUGAUUUCUGUUCCUGGGUUAUAAAUGUCAUUUCCUAUUUGGUUCUGUCAUAAAAAUAUGGCCAAAGUUUAUUACACUGUAAAAACUGUGUCUUUGCUCAAGGGACAUCAUCCUAUAGAUAGCACAUUUUGCUUUGUUGAGUCUCCACCAGUUUCUGCCACAAAAACAAAGUUUCUGGAGUAGAACAACUACUUUCAAAGUAAAGACGACACAAUGAAACAGGAAAUAACACUUUCAAACCAGGAACAGAUUUUCUUUAUUAUUAAAAAUGUUUAUUAUUAAAACCUUGAAAAUUUGCCAAAAAUCCAUGGAUAAGCCAAAUGUUCUGAAAUGUGGUGAGCUAACCGUGAUAAAUGUGUUCCACCACUGUAGCAAGUUUCACCAGAAUAACUCAAAAAAGAGGGAGAGAGAAGCCCCUGAAGUUUCCCCAAUGCCAGUGAUAUUUUCCCUUUUGCGCAUGCAUGACCACCAUUAACAAAGUACUUAUGAAGAUUCAUAAAUCUCAUUAGAGUUCUGAAACUUUUACCACAAACAUUCAGAAAGGACUUUAGAAACAAAGCGUCAGUGCCCCUUACUUUUGAACAUAGUUUAGAACUUUUUCAUGGAUCGCACAUGCCUAGUAUAUUCAUACAUAGUAUAAUGUAUUAUUCAAUAAAUAUUUAUUUAUAUAAUUAUUAA
Anolis carolinensis (green anole) is the source of this 5192-nucleotide RNA transcript. It is a transcript of the gene named Fanconi anemia group A protein-like, with no coding region annotated. Lineage: Eukaryota; Metazoa; Chordata; Lepidosauria; Squamata; Anolidae. The record is from RefSeq and is a predicted model, not a curated record. The transcript has 10 exons.